AUGCUGACUACUCCACCCGUCCUGGCGGCUCCAACUCCCAAGGAACCUAUGCUCCUGUACAUCGCCGCCACCAGCCGGGUAGUCAGCACGGUCAUUGUAGUGGAACGCAAGGAGGAAGGCAAGGCGCUACCUAUCCAGAGACCGGUAUAUUACUUGAGCGAGGUACUGCCGACCUCCAAGCAGAACUAUCCCCACUACCAGAAGAUGUGCUAUGGUGUACACUUUACUGCCAAGAAAUUGAAGCCUUACUUUCAAGAGCAUCCAAUCACGGUGGUCUGCACGGCCCCGCUCGCCGAGAUUAUUGGCAGCCGAGAUGCUUCUGGCCGAGUGGCC
RNAcentral lists this ribosomal RNA (333 nucleotides) under Triticum aestivum (bread wheat). RNAcentral's name for it is "partial small subunit ribosomal RNA". Lineage: Eukaryota; Viridiplantae; Streptophyta; Magnoliopsida; Poales; Poaceae. The record is from RNAcentral.